Molecule: transfer RNA, 64 nt
Filed under: Balta dissecta
Lineage: Eukaryota; Metazoa; Arthropoda; Insecta; Blattodea; Pseudophyllodromiidae
Description: tRNA-Glu
Rfam family: tRNA
About the family: Transfer RNA (tRNA) molecules are approximately 80 nucleotides in length.
Source: RNAcentral
AUUUAUGUAGUUUAAUAAAAACAUUACAUUUUCACUGUAAAAAUAAACCUAAUUUUCAUAAAUC